CAAAACCUAGCCUUAAGGAUGGGGAUAACAGACGGAAACGACUGCUAAUACCGAAUACGUUCUAAGCAUCGCAUGGUGCAUAGAAGAAAGGGUGGCCUCUACAAGAAAGCUAUCGCCUUAAGAGGGGUUUGCGACUGAUUAGGUAGUUGGUGAGGUAACGGCUCACCAAGCCGACGAUCAGUAGCCGGUCUGAGAGGAUGAACGGCCACACUGGAACUGAGACACGGUCCAG
RNAcentral lists this ribosomal RNA (232 nucleotides) under uncultured bacterium. RNAcentral's name for it is "partial 16S ribosomal RNA". It matches the Rfam family "Bacterial small subunit ribosomal RNA", at positions 118 to 334 of the family's 1533-position model. The record is from RNAcentral.